This 465-nucleotide ribosomal RNA is filed under the name uncultured bacterium. RNAcentral's name for it is "partial 16S ribosomal RNA". It matches the Rfam family "Bacterial small subunit ribosomal RNA", at positions 338 to 795 of the family's 1533-position model. The record is from RNAcentral.
CCUACGGGCGGCAGCAGUAGGGAAUCUUCCACAAUGGGCGCAAGCCUGAUGGAGCAAAACCGCGUGAGUGAAGACAGGUUUCGGCUCUUAAAGCUCUGUUGUUGGAGAAGAACGUGCGUGAGAGUAACUGUUCACGCAGUGACGGUAUCAAUCCAGAAAGUCACGGCUAACUACGUGCCAGCAGCCGCGGUAAUACGGAGGAGGCUAGCGUUAUCCGGAUUUAUUGGGCGUAAAGCGAGCGCAGGCGGUUGCUCAGGUCUGAUGUGAAAGCCUUCGGCUUAACCGAAGAAGUGCAUCGGAAACCGGGCGACUUGAGUGCAGAAGAGGACAGUGGAACUCCAUGUGUAGCGGUGGAAUGCUUAGAUAUAGGGAAGAACACCAGUGGCGAAGGCAGCUGUCUGGUCUGCAACUGACGCUGAGGCUCGAAAGCAUGGGUAGCGAACAGGAUUAGAUACCCGGGUAGUC